Molecule: long non-coding RNA, 419 nt
Filed under: Eucalyptus grandis
Lineage: Eukaryota; Viridiplantae; Streptophyta; Magnoliopsida; Myrtales; Myrtaceae
Description: long non-coding RNA (EGRA_LNC005112)
Source: RNAcentral
UGAAGGACAAAGAGCUCAUGCAUAUUACCACGUCUAGAAUAUCUAUCACUGCACUUAUGUCAGAGUGUGUCCAAACGCUGGACUAAACUUUGGAAUAAUUUAAUGUUAAAAUGGCCUUUCUAUAUGAUCAUUGGACUUGUUAGACUUGCUGGGCUAAGGGCUAAUAAGCAGUAAGAUGUUCCAGAUGCCCAUGCAGAAGAAUCAGUCGUUGACUGGUUAAUUCAUGGGUUAAUACCAAGAAAAACCCCAAACUAGUACACCAACAUAAAUUAAACGGAGAUUCAAUUUGUAACAAAUGUACCGGUUUGAGGUUUUUGAUGGUCAAAAAAUUAAUUUGGGAUAACUUUGUUAUAGGCGUACUGGUUUGAGGUUAACAAAUGUACUGGUUUGAGGUUUUUGGUGGUCAAAAAAUUAAUUUG